GCAAACUUGGUCAUUUAGAGGAAGUAAAAGUCGUAACAAGGUUUCCGUAGGUGAACCUGCGGAAGGAUCAUUAAUGAAACUUCAGUCGGCUUGUCAUCAGUGCUGGUGGGUCACUCCACAUGUGCACGCUGAUGAGUCGCAUAUCCACACACUUGUGCAUCUAUGACUCUGAGCUGCCUGUUACUGUGCCAAUCUUGGGUUGGCCUGGGUGCUCGAGUACUUUUACACACUCUUGAAUGUAAUGGAAUGUCUUUUGUGCAUAAUGUACAAUCUAAACAACUUUCAACAACGGAUCUCUUGGCUCUCGCAUCGAUGAAGAACGCAGC
RNAcentral lists this unclassified non-coding RNA (326 nucleotides) under uncultured fungus. Its description in RNAcentral is "partial contains small subunit ribosomal RNA, internal transcribed spacer 1, and 5.8S ribosomal RNA". The stretch from base 1 to 73 matches the Rfam family "Eukaryotic small subunit ribosomal RNA", at positions 1759 to 1831 of the family's 1831-position model. The record is from RNAcentral. Lineage: Eukaryota; Fungi.